RNAcentral lists this small nuclear RNA (293 nucleotides) under Neotoma lepida (desert woodrat). Its description in RNAcentral is "7SK RNA". It matches the Rfam family "7SK RNA", at positions 1 to 290 of the family's 331-position model. From Rfam's summary of the family: 7SK was discovered as an abundant small nuclear RNA in the mid-70s but a possible function has only recently been suggested. The record is from Rfam by way of RNAcentral. Lineage: Eukaryota; Metazoa; Chordata; Mammalia; Rodentia; Cricetidae.
AGAUGUAAGAGCUGUGCAAUCUGGCACCACAAUGAUCGCCAGGGUUGGUUUGCUUGAUCUACCUUGGCUAGGUUGGUGUACUCCUCCUCCCUCUCCACUCCACGUGCGUUUCUCCAGAAGCUGUGUGUGAUGUUGAAGAUGACCUUCCCUAAACGGAGGAGGACUGGUCUUCCAACAAGAGUACAUGGGUAGCUGUGCUCUCCUGCUUGAACCUCCGAACAAGCUAUCAAAACGGCAAAGGUAGUGCGUGAGUUGCCCACAGGGUAGGCUGUAUGGCCAGCAGAUGACAGACU